Molecule: long non-coding RNA, 309 nt
Organism: Gadus morhua (Atlantic cod)
Lineage: Eukaryota; Metazoa; Chordata; Actinopteri; Gadiformes; Gadidae
Exons: 3
Source: RefSeq, a predicted model, not a curated record
ACGACGAUGAUGAUAAUGCCACUGUCAUCAGUGACUUGUCGUGGGUGCCCGAAGAGCCGAUGGAUGAGGAGGAAUUGUUUGAUGAGGAGCCACCUUACACGUGUGACCCCCACCACAAUUGCAUUGACAAAUUCAUUGUUUGCCAAGAGGAGCUGAUGGGCCUUUUUGCCAUCUGUCCGGCCUGUUGUGAGAGGUCGGAUAGUAGCAUCGUGCAGCAGGAAGGAACUUUUGUUAAGAUCAAGCAGGUCUGUGCAUCAUGUGGCUACCACCGUUUCUGGCAAAACCAGCCAAUGCUCCACAGGAACAUGC